Molecule: ribosomal RNA, 848 nt
Filed under: Gyalecta truncigena
Lineage: Eukaryota; Fungi; Ascomycota; Lecanoromycetes; Ostropales; Gyalectaceae
Description: SSU rRNA
Rfam family: Bacterial small subunit ribosomal RNA
Source: RNAcentral
AAUAGCCUAACGGCUGAACCAGCAACUUGGAGGAAUGAAUAUUAAGAAUAUUAAAUAAAGUUCGAGAUAUACUAUGAUUAUGACAUUAUAUAUCUUUAAGUCUUGGCUAAGUCACGUGCCAGCAGUCGCGGUAAUACGUGGAAGACGAGUGUUAUUCAUCUUUAAUUGGUUUAAAGGGUACGUAGACGGUUAAUAAAUCUUACCUGUAAAAGGCGUAAGAACUAAUUAUACUAGAGUUUAAUGUGAGAAGUGCAGUACGGUGAGUGUAGUGAUAAAAUACUUUGAUACCACUUAGAGACUGAUAAAAGCGAAAGCGGCCUUUUAUGUAAAACUGACGUUAAGGGACGAAGGCUCGAUAAAGUAAAAGGAUUAGAUACCCUUGUAUUGUGGGCAGAAAAUGAUGAAUGUCAUAUAUAAGAUAAUUAUGUUUUAUGUAUAAAUGAAAGUGUAAGCAUUCCACCUCAAGAGUAAUAUGGCAACAUAUAAACUGAAAUCAUUAGACCGUUUCUGAAACCAGCAGUGAAGUAUGUUGUUUAAUUUGAUGAUCCACGGAAAACCUUACCACAAUUUGUAUAUUUAUAUUAUUUAAUUUAUAAUUACAAGAGUUGCACGGCUGUCUUCAGUUAAUGUCGUGAGAUUUGGUUAGUUCCAUCAAAUUAACGUAAACCCUUGCUUUAUUUUUUUAUACAUAAAGCAGUUCGCUGAUAAUAUUAUAUUGGUUUGAUAUAAGGGAUCAAGACAAGUCAUCAUGACCAAAAUAUUGUGGGCUAUAGACGUGCCACGCAAGCCUUAACAAAAAGAUGCAAAAUUGUGAAAUUAAGCUAAUCUUAUAAAAAAGGACAUAAUAU